RNAcentral lists this ribosomal RNA (671 nucleotides) under uncultured Alphaproteobacteria bacterium. RNAcentral describes it as "bacterial SSU rRNA". It matches the Rfam family "Bacterial small subunit ribosomal RNA", at positions 97 to 802 of the family's 1533-position model. The record is from RNAcentral. Lineage: Bacteria; Pseudomonadati; Pseudomonadota; Alphaproteobacteria.
GGCAGACGGGUGAGUAACAUGUGGGUAUCUGCCCUUUGGCCUGGAAUAACACGAGGAAACUUGUGCUAAUACCGGAUAAGUCUUUACGGAGAAAGCUUUAUGCACCAUUGGAUGAGCCCGCACUUGAUUAGUUUGUUGGUGGGGUAAUGGCCUACCAAGACUGUGAUCAAUAGCUGAUUUGAGAGGAUGAUCAGCCACAUUGGGACUGAGACACGGCCCAAACUCCUACGGGAGGCAGCAGUGGGGAAUCUUGCACAAUGGAGGAAACUCUGAUGCAGCGAUGCCGCGUGAGUGAAGAAGGCCCUUGGGUUGUAAAGCUCUUUCGUCGGGGAAGAAAAUGACUGUACCCGAAUAAGAAGGUCCGGCUAACUUCGUGCCAGCAGCCGCGGUAAUACGAAGGGACCUAGCGUAGUUCGGAAUUACUGGGCUUAAAGAGUUCGUAGGUGGUUGAAAAAGUUAGUGGUGAAAUCCCAGAGCUUAACUCUGGAACUGCCAUUAAAACUUUUCAGCUAGAGUAUGAUAGAGGAAAGCAGAAUUUCUAGUGUAGAGGUGAAAUUCGUAGAUAUUAGAAAGAAUACCAAUUGCGAAGGCAGCUUUCUGGAUCAUUACUGACACUGAGGAACGAAAGCAUGGGUAGCGAAGAGGAUUAGAUACCCUCGUAGUCCAUGCCG